Molecule: ribosomal RNA, 253 nt
Filed under: uncultured microorganism
Description: partial 16S ribosomal RNA
Rfam family: Bacterial small subunit ribosomal RNA
Source: RNAcentral
UACGGAGGGUGCGAGCGUUAAUCGGAUUUACUGGGCGUAAAGCGUACGUAGGCGGCUUGUUAAGCAAGAUGUGAAAUCCCCGGGCUCAACCUAGGAAUUGCGCUUGUGACUGGCGGGCUCGAGUACGGUAGAGGGGGGUGGAAUUCCUGGUGUAGCAGUGAAAUGCGUAGAGAUCAGGAGGAACACCGAUGGCGAAGGCAGCCCCCUGGGCCUGUACUGACGCUCAUGCACGAAAGCGUGGGGAGCAAACAGG